CUAAUACCGCGUAAGACCACAGCUUCACAUGGAGCAGGGGUCAAAGGAGCAAUCCGGAUAAAGAUGGGCUCGCGUCCGAUUAGCUAGUUGGUGAGAUAACAGCCCACCAAGGCGACGAUCGGUAGCCGACCUGAGAGGGUGAUCGGCCACAUUGGAACUGAGAAACGGUCCAGACUCCUACGGGAGGCAGCAGUGGGGAAUAUUGGGCAAUGGGCGAAAGCCUGACCCAGCAACGCCGCGUGAGGGAAGAAGGGUUUCGGCUCGUAAACCUCUGUCCUAUGGGACGAAGGAAGUGACGGUACCAUAGGAGGAAGCCCCGGCUAACUACGUGCCAGCAGCCGCGGUAAUACGUAGGGGGCGAGCGUUGUCCGGAAUGAUUGGGCGUAAAGGGCGCGUAGGCGGCCUGCUAAGUCUGGAGUGAAAGUCCUGCUUUCAAGGUGGGAAUUGCUUUGGAUACUGGUGGGGCUGGAGUGCAGGAGAGGAAAGCGGAAUUACCGGUGUAGCGGUGAAAUGCGUAGAGAUCGGUAGGAACACCAGUGGCGAAGGCGGCUUUCUGGACUGAAACUGACGCUGAGGCGCGAGAGCGUGGGGAGCAAACAGGAUUAGAUACCCUGGUAGUCCACGCCGUAAACGAUGGAUACUAGGUGUAGAGGGUAUCGACCCCCUCUGUGCCGGACAAACGCAAUAAGUAUCCCGCCUGGGGAGUACGGCCGCAAGGUUGAAACUCAAAGGAAUUGACGGG
This 742-nucleotide ribosomal RNA is filed under the name uncultured Bacillota bacterium. RNAcentral describes it as "bacterial SSU rRNA". It matches the Rfam family "Bacterial small subunit ribosomal RNA", at positions 163 to 917 of the family's 1533-position model. The record is from RNAcentral. Lineage: Bacteria; Bacillati; Bacillota.